RNAcentral lists this ribosomal RNA (850 nucleotides) under uncultured bacterium. RNAcentral describes it as "bacterial SSU rRNA". It matches the Rfam family "Bacterial small subunit ribosomal RNA", at positions 664 to 1533 of the family's 1533-position model. The record is from RNAcentral.
GAACUCCAUGUGUAGCGGUGAAAUGCGUAGAUAUAUGGAAGAAUACCGGUGGCGAAGGCGGCCAACCAGCACAAUACUGACGCUUAGUCACGAAAGCGUAGGUAGCAAAUAGGAUUAGAUACCCUAGUAGUCUACGCUGUAAACGAUGAUUACUAAAUGUUCCUUACUGGAGCAAUGAAGCUAACGCAUUAAGUAAUCCGCCUGGGAAGUACGAUCGCAAGAUUGAAACUUAAAGGAAUUGACGGGGUCCCGCACAAGCAGUGGAGCAUGUGGUUUAAUUCGACGCUACGCGAAGAACCUUACCAGGACUUGACAUAGAGGUAAAAGUUCUAGAAAUAGAAUCAUAGUUAUAGCUCAUACAGGUGGUGCAUGGUUGUCGUCAGCUCGUGUCGUGAGAUGUUGGGUUAAGUCCCGCAACGAGCGCAACCCUUGUCCUUAGUUACUAACAUUUAGUUGAGAACUCUAAGGAGACUGCCGAUGUUAAAUCGGAGGAAGGUGGGGAUGACGUCAAAUCAUCAUGCCCUUUAUGUCCUGGGCGACACACGUGCUACAAUGACCAUUACAAAGAGUUGCAAAACCGCGAGGUUAAGCAAAUCUCAUAAAGAUGGCCUCAGUUCGGAUCGAAGUCUGCAACUCGACUUCGUGAAGCUGGAAUUGCUAGUAAUCGCAGAUCAGACAUGCUGCGGUGAAUACGUUCUCGGGGCUUGUACACACUGCCCGUCAAACCAUGAGAGUUGGUAAUACUUGAAGCCGUUAUCCUAAUCCGUAAGGAGGGAGACGUCUAAGGUAGGACUAAUGAUUGGGGUGAAGUCGUAANCAAGGUAACCCGAAAGGGCGAAUCGUAACNCGC